This 1939-nucleotide small RNA is filed under the name Pongo abelii (Sumatran orangutan). Its description in RNAcentral is "retained intron". Lineage: Eukaryota; Metazoa; Chordata; Mammalia; Primates; Hominidae. The record is from RNAcentral.
UGCUGCACGGGCUGGCAUGGCCUCGUGUUGUGUUGGGGGUCUCGCACCUUCUGUGGAAAGUGCCCUGCCUGGCAUGCGCGGUGUCUGCUGCCUCAUGGCUGAGCUUCCAUCAGGCCGUGUGCCUGUGACCAGCCUCCUGGGCUCUGUCACGGCUGCGCUGUGGCUGUGUGGGGCUGCAGGGCUGUUCAUGGCGUGACCCGAAUCCUUUCCAGGAGCUUCGAGAACAACUGGAACAUUUACAAGCUCCUCGCCCACCAGAAGCCCCCCAAGGAGAAGUCUAACUUCUCCCUGGCCAUCCUGAACGUGGGGGCCCCAGCGGCUGGCAUGAAUGCGGCUGUGCGCUCGGCGGUGCGGACUGGCAUCUCCCAUGGACACACAGUAUACGUGGUGCACGAUGGCUUUGAAGGCCUAGCCAAGGGUCAGGUGCAAGAAGUAGGCUGGCACGACGUGGCUGGCUGGUUGGGGCGUGGUGGCUCCAUGCUGGGGACCAAGAGGACCCUGCCCAAAGGCCAGCUGGAGUCCAUUGUGGAGAACAUCCGCAUCUACGGUAUCCACGCCCUGCUGGUGGUCGGCGGGUUUGAGGCCUAUGAAGGGGUGCUGCAGCUAGUGGAGGCUCGCGGGCGCUACGAGGAGCUCUGCAUCGUCAUGUGCGUCAUCCCAGCCACCAUCAGCAACAACGUCCCUGGCACCGACUUCAGCCUUGGCUCCGACACCGCUGUAAAUGCCGCCAUGGAGAGCUGUGACCGCAUCAAACAGUCUGCCUCGGGCACCAAGCGCCGUGUGUUCAUUGUGGAGACCAUGGGGGGUUACUGUGGCUACCUGGCCACCGUAACUGGCAUUGCUGUCGGGGCCGACGCCGCCUACGUCUUCGAGGACCCUUUCAACAUCCAUGACUUGAAGGUCAACGUGGAGCACAUGACGGAGAAGAUGAAGACGGACAUUCAGAGGGGCCUGGUGCUGCGGAACGAGAAGUGCCAUGACUACUACACCACGGAGUUCCUGUACAACCUGUACUCAUCAGAGGGCAAGGGUGUCUUCGACUGCAGGACCAACGUCCUGGGCCAUCUGCAGCAGGGUGGCGCUCCAACCCCCUUUGACCGGAACUACGGGACCAAGCUGGGGGUGAAGGCCAUGCUGUGGUUGUCGGAGAAGCUGCGCGACGUUUACCGCAAGGGACGGGUGUUCGCCAAUGCCCCAGACUCAGCCUGUGUGAUCGGCCUGAAGAAGAAGGCGGUGGCCUUCAGCCCCGUCACUGAGCUCAAGAAAGACACUGAUUUCGAGCACCGCAUGCCGCGGGAGCAGUGGUGGCUGAGCCUGCGGCUCAUGCUGAAGAUGCUGGCACAAUACCGCAUCAGUAUGGCCGCCUACGUGUCAGGGGAGCUGGAGCACGUGACCCGCCGCACCCUGAGCAUGGACAAGGGCUUCUGAGGCCAUGCCCACGCCCCUCCCCAGCCCCCACCCAUGCCAGCCGCAGCACCAGGGCUCAGAUGGGGCCUGGGCUGUUGUGUCUGGAGCCUGCAGGCAGGUGGAGGCUGUGUCCCUGCUCAGCCCACCCCCUGCCUCUAUCCCUGGCCACCUGCCAGGCCUCUCUGGGGCUGGUGUCUUGAGACCAGCCUGCCAGGCCCUCCAGCAGGAGGACAGGGCGCCCUGGGGCAUCCACCUUCCUGCCCAGGGGACGCGGCGCUGUCGGUGUUUGGAGGCUGCCGCCCCCUGGCUUUGGCGCCCCAUGGGCCCUCAGCGUCUCCCCACGCUGGGCUCACUACAUGGGCCAGCCCUCACCCUACAUGGCCUGUAGGCUGCUGGCGCCUGGGUUGUGUUGAGAGGGGGACGCCCCUGGCCCUGCCUCACUGUGACCUGCUCCUGCCCACGUGCAGCACCCGUCACCUUUUCUAGAAAUAAAAUCACCUUGACUGUGGGGUGCAUCGGUCUCUGGAGAGCA